Molecule: ribosomal RNA, 2906 nt
Filed under: Providencia vermicola
Lineage: Bacteria; Pseudomonadati; Pseudomonadota; Gammaproteobacteria; Enterobacterales; Morganellaceae
Also listed under: 1 other name
Description: 23S ribosomal RNA
Rfam family: Bacterial large subunit ribosomal RNA
Source: RNAcentral
GGUUAAGCGACUAAGCGUACACGGUGGAUGCCUAGGCAAUCAGAGGCGAUGAAGGACGUGCUAAUCUGCGAAAAGCGUCGGUAAGGUGAUAUGAACCGCUAUAGCCGACGAUGUCCGAAUGGGGAAACCCAGUGCAAUUCGUUGCACUAUCGUUUGAUGAAUCCAUAGUCAAACGAGGCGAACCGAGGGAACUGAAACAUCUCAGUACCUCGAGGAAAAGAAAUCAACCGAGAUUCCCCUAGUAGCGGCGAGCGAACGGGGAGCAGCCCAGAGUCUUAAUCAGCAUCAGCAUCAGGAGAACGGUCUGGAAAGUCCGGCAGUAAAGGGUGAUAGCCCCGUAUCCGAAGGUGUUGGUGUUGUGAACUCGACGAGUAGGGCGGGACACGUGUUAUCCUGUCUGAAUAUGGGGGGACCAUCCUCCAAGGCUAAAUACUCCUGAUUGACCGAUAGUGAACCAGUACCGUGAGGGAAAGGCGAAAAGAACCCCGGCGAGGGGAGUGAAAUAGAACCUGAAACCGUGUACGUACAAGCAGUGGGAGCACCUUUUAGGUGUGACUGCGUACCUUUUGUAUAAUGGGUCAGCGACUUAUAUUCUGUAGCAAGGUUAACCGUAUAGGGGAGCCGUAGGGAAACCGAGUCUUAACUGGGCGAUUAAGUUGCAGGGUAUAGACCCGAAACCCGGUGAUCUAGCCAUGGGCAGGUUGAAGGUUGGGUAACACUAACUGGAGGACCGAACCGACUAAUGUUGAAAAAUUAGCGGAUGACUUGUGGCUGGGGGUGAAAGGCCAAUCAAACCGGGAGAUAGCUGGUUCUCCCCGAAAGCUAUUUAGGUAGCGCCUCGUGAACUCAUCUUCGGGGGUAGAGCACUGUUUCGGCUAGGGGGUCAUCCCGACUUACCAACCCGAUGCAAACUACGAAUACCGAAGAAUGUUAUCACGGGAGACACACGGCGGGUGCUAACGUUCGUCGUGAAGAGGGAAACAACCCAGACCGCCAGCUAAGGUCCCAAAGUCAUGGUUAAGUGGGAAACGAAGUGGGAAGGCUCAGACAGCCAGGAUGUUGGCUUAGAAGCAGCCAUCAUUUAAAGAAAGCGUAAUAGCUCACUGGUCGAGUCGGCCUGCGCGGAAGAUGUAACGGGGCUAAACCAUGCACCGAAGCUGCGGCAGCGACAUUUAGAUGUUGUUGGGUAGGGGAGCGUUCUGUAAGCCUGUGAAGGUGUGCUGUGAGGCAUGCUGGAGGUAUCAGAAGUGCGAAUGCUGACAUAAGUAACGAUAAUGCGGGUGAAAAACCCGCACGCCGGAAGACCAAGGGUUCCUGUCCAACGUUAAUCGGGGCAGGGUGAGUCGACCCCUAAGGCGAGGCAGAAAUGCGUAGUCGAUGGGAAACAGGUUAAUAUUCCUGUACUGGUGAUAAUUGCGAUGGGGGGACGGAGAAGGCUAGGCUGGCCGGGCGACGGUUGUCCCGGUUUAAGGAUGUAGGCAGGUGAAUUAGGCAAAUCCGGUUCACUACAUGCUGAGGUCUGAUGACGAGUCACUACGGUGGCGAAGUAGCUCAUGCCCCGCUUCCAGGAAAAGCCUCUAAGCUCUAGAUUAUCAUUAAUCGUACCCCAAACCGACACAGGUGGUCAGGUAGAGAAUACUCAGGCGCUUGAGAGAACUCGGGUGAAGGAACUAGGCAAAAUGGUGCCGUAACUUCGGGAGAAGGCACGCUGGCGCUAGGUGAAGUCCCUCGCGGAUGGAGCUGAAGCCAGUCGCAGAUACCAGCUGGCUGCAACUGUUUAUUAAAAACACAGCACUGUGCAAACACGAAAGUGGACGUAUACGGUGUGACGCCUGCCCGGUGCUGGAAGGUUAAUUGAUGGGGUUAUCCGUAAGGAGAAGCUCUUGAUCGAAGCCCCAGUAAACGGCGGCCGUAACUAUAACGGUCCUAAGGUAGCGAAAUUCCUUGUCGGGUAAGUUCCGACCUGCACGAAUGGCGUAAUGAUGGCCAGGCUGUCUCCACCCGAGACUCAGUGAAAUUGAACUCGCUGUGAAGAUGCAGUGUACCCGCGGCAAGACGGAAAGACCCCGUGAACCUUUACUAUAGCUUGACACUGAACAUUGAGCCUUGAUGUGUAGGAUAGGUGGGAGGCUUUGAAGUGUGGACGCCAGUCUGCAUGGAGCCAACCUUGAAAUACCACCCUUUAAUGUUUGAUGUUCUAACGUGGCCCCAUCAUCUGGGGUGCGGACAGUGUCUGGUGGGUAGUUUGACUGGGGCGGUCUCCUCCCAAAGAGUAACGGAGGAGCACGAAGGUUGGCUAAGCAUGGUCGGACAUCAUGCGGUUAGUGCAAAGGCAUAAGCCAGCUUGACUGCGAGAGUGACGGCUCGAGCAGGUACGAAAGUAGGUCUUAGUGAUCCGGUGGUUCUGAAUGGAAGGGCCAUCGCUCAACGGAUAAAAGGUACUCCGGGGAUAACAGGCUGAUACCGCCCAAGAGUUCAUAUCGACGGCGGUGUUUGGCACCUCGAUGUCGGCUCAUCACAUCCUGGGGCUGAAGUAGGUCCCAAGGGUAUGGCUGUUCGCCAUUUAAAGUGGUACGCGAGCUGGGUUUAGAACGUCGUGAGACAGUUCGGUCCCUAUCUGCCGUGGGCGUUGGAAGAUUGAAAGGGGCUGCUCCUAGUACGAGAGGACCGGAGUGGACGCACCACUGGUGUUCGGGUUGUCAUGCCAAUGGCACUGCCCGGUAGCUAAGUGCGGAAGAGAUAACCGCUGAAAGCAUCUAAGCGGGAAACUUGCCUUGAGAUGAGUCUUCCCUGACUCUUUAAGGGUCCUAAAGGAACGUUUAAGACUAAGACGUUGAUAGGCUGGGUGUGUAAGCGUAGCGAUACGUUGAGCUAACCAGUACUAAUGAACCGUGAGGCUUAACCUG